RNAcentral lists this ribosomal RNA (468 nucleotides) under uncultured bacterium. RNAcentral describes it as "partial 16S ribosomal RNA". It matches the Rfam family "Bacterial small subunit ribosomal RNA", at positions 28 to 507 of the family's 1533-position model. The record is from RNAcentral.
GACGAACGCUGGCGGCGUGCUUAACACAUGCAAGUCGAACGGAAAGGCCCUGCUUUUGUGGGGUGCUCGAGUGGCGAACGGGUGAGUAACACGUGAGUAACCUGCCCUUGACUUUGGGAUAACUUCAGGAAACUGGGGCUAAUACCGGAUAGGAGCUCCUGCUGCAUGGUGGGGGUUGGAAAGUUUCGGCGGUUGGGGAUGGACUCGCGGCUUAUCAGCUUGUUGGUGGGGUAGUGGCUUACCAAGGCUUUGACGGGUAGCCGGCCUGAGGGGGUGACCGGCCACAUUGGGACUGAGAUACGGCCCAGACUCCUACGGGAGGCAGCAGUGGGGAAUAGUGCACAAUGGGCGGAAGCCUGAUGCAGCAACGCCGCGUGCGGGAUGACGGCCUUCGGGUUGUAAACCGCUUUCGCCUGUGACGAAGCGUGAGUGACGGUAAUGGGUAAAGAAGCACCGGCUAACUACGUG